AGAACCCCAGCUGCAAGUGAGACUGGAAAAAUGGCUCUCAGAGUUCCCGCCUCUGCAGUAGAGGAAGACACUCCAGAAGGAGUUGAGAAUGGGUGCUGAGUGCCUCUUCAGGAUGUCUGUCACACCUCAGGAAACCUGCCAGGAAUACCAAAGGGAGUGAAAAAUCCAAGGUUGGGAAGCCCUGGGACAUUGAAGUUACAACUGGACGAUAAAAACAGAGUUUUUUCCUUGUGACGUGACCACUGUGAUGUAAAGCUGUAUCUCCUUCAUUUCAUCAAGAAAUUCUUAAAAUUCUCCCCCAACGUGCUUUCAUCUUUCCCUUCAUUGCCAACUCUGUAAGAAGUACCACGCCUUUUCUUUGAAUCUGAUUCUCCUCCAAGAAGCAAUGCUUCUCUGAGGCUUUCACCUUUGCUCACAUCAAAGCCCCCACACUGAAUAAAUACCAUCCUUACAUGCCCUUCCAGAGACUCCACUAAUGGACGAGCUUCAUCCAGCAAAAGAUAACUGGGGAAACUUCAGCAAAAGGACUGUUGAUGAAAAUUUGCUGUAUUUGAUUAUAUAGCUAAGACUAAAACAGGGAACAUGGUUGGAAUUAUACUAAGUAAAUAUGAUAUGUUCUCACAAAGUAGAAAGAAUGCAACUAACUAAUAUAGAAGAAGAGGGAAAGUAAAAUAGUAUUGUUUACAAUUUUAUAGGUAUUGGGUGUGAGUUAAAUUAUACCACUUAAAAUGAACAGAACAGACAGUAAAAAGUGAAGUAAGAAAAAAGGACAGAGGUAUCAUAAAAGAUACAAAUUCAGAGGAAUACUUGUCAUUGAAAUUAGGGCCCACCUGGAUAAUCCAUGAUGAUCUCAUCUCAAGAUCCUUAACUUAAUGACAUCUGCAGAGACUGGUUUAUCAAAUAAGGGACUGUGGCUAUAUCGCUGACCUCAAGAAAACCUGCGGACAAAAUCUGCUAAAGAAGUAUCAGCAUCUAUUUCAAAAGUUAGCCAUUAUUUUAAGAAGACUGUGCUGGAAGACGGGUAUUUAACACAAACAGAUGCAAAAGAUACGGGGUUUCACCGUGUUGACCAGACUGAUUUUGAACUUCUGGGCUCAAUCAGUCCACCUGCCUCGGCCUCCCAAAGUGCUGAGAUUAUAGGUGUGAGCCCCUGCGCCUGGCCAGGGAUGCCGUUCUUCACUCUCCAAUUGAGCAGCCAUUAUAUAUCAGGCACUAUAGGAGUUCCUGGAGGAUACUGGUCUGAAGUUAGCAUGAUCUUGACUCAAGAAACUUAUAGUCCUGAUAAGAACUUCCACCAGAAUUCCAGAUAAGGCAGCACAGGCCUUGCUGUUUGCCCAUGCCCAUGCGGUCAGCUCUCUUGGGUACCGUGGCAUGCAGAUGCAGACACUCACCCAAGACACCCUGUAGUGCUGAUUACUGGCUGAAGACACUGAAUAUCUGAUAUAGUUUGGAUGUUUGACCCCUCCAAAUCUCAUGUUGAAACUAGAUUCCCAGUGUUGGAGGUGGGGCCCGGUGGGAGGUGUUUGGAUUGUGGGAUUGGAUCCCUUAUGGCCAUCUUGGUGCCAUCCUUGUGGUAAUGAGCAAGUUCUUUAUCUACUAGUUCCUGAGCGAUCUGGUUGCUAAAAAGAGUCUAGCAGCAUCAUCCGCUCCCUCUCCUCCUCUCUUACCAUGUGAUAUGCACACACCGGCUACCCUUCACCUACUGCUCCAGCACCACGCUUCAUGUACAGCCUGUAGAACUCUGAGCCAAAUAAACCUCUUUUCUUUAUAAA
This is a long non-coding RNA of Homo sapiens (human), 1772 nucleotides long. Ensembl annotates it as long intergenic non-protein coding RNA 2362. The record is from Ensembl. Lineage: Eukaryota; Metazoa; Chordata; Mammalia; Primates; Hominidae.